CCUACGGGAGGCAGCAGUGAGGAAUAUUGGUCAAUGGACGAGAGUCUGAACCAGCCAAGUAGCGUGAAGGAUGACUGCCCUAUGGGUUGUAAACUUCUUUUAUAUGGGAAUAAAACGUUCCACGUGUGGGAUUUUGUAUGUACCAUAUGAAUAAGGACCGGCUAACUCCGUGCCAGCAGCCGCGGGAAUACGGAGGAUCUGAGCGUUAUCCGGAUUUAUUGGGUUUAAAGGGAGCGUAGGUGGAUUGUUAAGUCAGUUGUGAAAGUUUGCGGCUCAACCGUAAAAUUGCAGUUGAAACUGGCAGUCUUGAGUACAGGAGAGGUGGGCGGAAUUCGUGGUGUAGCGGUGAAAUGCUUAGAUAUCACGAAGAACUCCGAUUGCGAAGGCAGUUCACUGGACUGCAACUGACGCUGAGGCUCGAAAGUGUGGGUAUCAAACAGGAUUAGAUACCCGGGUAGUC
RNAcentral lists this ribosomal RNA (460 nucleotides) under uncultured bacterium. RNAcentral's name for it is "partial 16S ribosomal RNA". It matches the Rfam family "Bacterial small subunit ribosomal RNA", at positions 338 to 795 of the family's 1533-position model. The record is from RNAcentral.